This 253-nucleotide ribosomal RNA is filed under the name uncultured bacterium. Its description in RNAcentral is "partial 16S ribosomal RNA". It matches the Rfam family "Bacterial small subunit ribosomal RNA", at positions 524 to 776 of the family's 1533-position model. The record is from RNAcentral.
UACGAAGGGGGCUAGCGUUGCUCGGAAUCACUGGGCGUAAAGCGCACGUAGGCGGAUUGCUAAGUCAGGGGUGAAAUCCUGGAGCUCAACUCCAGAACUGCCUUUGAUACUGGCGAUCUCGAGUCCGGGAGAGGUGAGUGGAACUGCGAGUGUAGAGGUGAAAUUCGUAGAUAUCGGGAAGAACAUCGGUGGCGAAGGCGCUCUACUGGACCACAACUGACACUCAGGGACGAAAGCUAGGGGAGCGAAUGGG